AUUGAACGCUGGCGGCAGGCCUAACACAUGCAAGUCGAGCGGAUGAAGGGAGCUUGCUCCUGGAUUCAGCGGCGGACGGGUGAGUAAUGCCUAGGAAUCUGCCUGCUAGUGCUGGAUAACGUCCGGAAACGGGCGCUAAUACCGCAUACGUCCUGCGGGAGAAAGUGGGGGAUCUUCGGACCUCACGCUAUCAGAUGAGCCUAGGUCGGAUUAGCUAGUUGGUGGGGUAAAGGCCUACCUAGCCGACGAUCCGUAACUGGUCUGAGAGGAUGAUCAGUCACACUGGAACUGAGACACGGUCCUGACUCCUACGGGAGGCAGCAGUGGGGAAUAUUGGACAAUGGGCGAAAGCCUGAUCCAGCCAUGCCGCGUGUGUGAAGAAGGUCUUCGGAUUGUAAAGCACGUUAAGUUGGGAGGAAGGGCAGUAAGUUAAUACCUUGCUGUUUUGACGUUACCAACAGAAUAAGCACCGGCUAACUUCGUG
This 484-nucleotide ribosomal RNA is filed under the name uncultured bacterium. RNAcentral's name for it is "partial 16S ribosomal RNA". It matches the Rfam family "Bacterial small subunit ribosomal RNA", at positions 30 to 507 of the family's 1533-position model. The record is from RNAcentral.